GUCCUAGCCAAAGCCGUGAUACCAUAUUUUGCUCCUAUAUCUAGUUCAAUCAAAAACAAAAGAGAAUCCCAAUCCUUAAGACUAUACUUAUAUUGGCUAAGAUUUCUGGCCAGUCAGAUGCACAAAGAGAGACGUUGUUGAAAUUAACUUCAGUUCUAGUGAACGUAGAUUAUACCAUACAGACAGCCUAGACCUAGGCCUAAACUCGGCUGGUAAUUAUUGCAAUGGUCACUUGCCUGUAAAGGCCUAGUAGAUAGUUUCAGAAGUUCUCAAAUUAGCCCGAUAACUUUGUGAUCCG
Molecule: non-coding RNA, 298 nt
Organism: Paramuricea clavata
Lineage: Eukaryota; Metazoa; Cnidaria; Anthozoa; Malacalcyonacea; Plexauridae
Source: the annotation of a GenBank genome assembly